Molecule: ribosomal RNA, 253 nt
Filed under: uncultured bacterium
Lineage: Bacteria
Description: partial 16S ribosomal RNA
Rfam family: Bacterial small subunit ribosomal RNA
Source: RNAcentral
UACGAGGGGGGCGAGCGUUGUUCGGAAUUAUUGGGCGUAAAGGGUGCGUAGGCGGUUUGGUAAGUCUGAUGUGAAAUCUAUGGGCUCAACUCAUAGUCUGCAUCGGAAACUGCCGGGCUUGAGUGUGGGAGAGGUGAGUGGAAUUCCUGGUGUAGCGGUGAAAUGCGCAGAUAUCAGGAAGAACACCCGUGGCUAAGGCGGCUCUCUAGUACGUGACUGACGCUGAGACGCGAAAGCGUGGGGAGCGAACAGG